This 506-nucleotide ribosomal RNA is filed under the name uncultured bacterium. Its description in RNAcentral is "partial 16S ribosomal RNA". It matches the Rfam family "Bacterial small subunit ribosomal RNA", at positions 30 to 523 of the family's 1533-position model. The record is from RNAcentral.
AUUGAACGCUGGCGGCAGGCCUAACACAUGCAAGUCGAACGGCAGCACAGAAGAGCUUGCUCUUUGGGUGGCGAGUGGCGGACGGGUGAGUAAUGUCUGGGAAACUGCCCGAUGGAGGGGGAUAACUACUGGAAACGGUAGCUAAUACCGCAUAACGUCGCAAGACCAAAGUGGGGGACCUUCGGGCCUCACACCAUCGGAUGUGCCCAGAUGGGAUUAGCUAGUAGGUGGGGUAAUGGCUCACCUAGGCGACGAUCCCUAGCUGGUCUGAGAGGAUGACCAGCCACACUGGAACUGAGACACGGUCCAGAAUCCGACGGGAGGCAGCAGUGGGGAAUAUUGCACAAUGGGCGCAAGCCUGAUGCAGCCAUGCCGCGUGUAUGAAGAAGGCCUUCGGGUUGUAAAGUACUUUCAGCGGGGAGGAAGGCGGUGAGGUUAAUAACCUUGCCGAUUGACGUUACCCGCAGAAGAAGCACCGGCUAACUCCGUGCCAGCCGCCGCCGUAA